Molecule: ribosomal RNA, 489 nt
Filed under: uncultured bacterium
Lineage: Bacteria
Description: partial 16S ribosomal RNA
Rfam family: Bacterial small subunit ribosomal RNA
Source: RNAcentral
AUUGAACGCUGGCGGCAGGCCCAACACAUGCAAGUCGAACGGUAACAGGAAGCAGCUUGCUGCUUUGCUGACGAGUGGCGGACGGGUGAGUAAUGUCUGGGAAACUGCCUGAUGGAGGGGGAUAACUACUGGAAACGGUAGCUAAUACCGCAUAACGUCGCAAGACCAAAGAGGGGGACCUUCGGGCCUCUUGCCAUCGGAUGUGCCCAGAUGGGAUUAGCUAGUAGGUGGGGUAACGGCUCACCUAGGCGACGAUCCCUAGCUGGUCUGAGAGGAUGACCAGCCACACUGGAACUGAGACACGGUCCAGACUCCUACGGGAGGCAGCAGUGGUGAAUAUUGCACAAUGGGCGAAAGCCUGAUGCAGCCAUGCCGCGUGUAUGAAGAAGGCCUUCGGGUUGUAAAGUACUUUCAGCGGGGAGGAAGGGAGUAAAGUUAAUACCUUUGCUCAUUGACGUUACCCGCAGAAGAAGCACCGGCUAACUCCGU